AACGAACGCUGGCGGCGCGCCUAAUACAUGCAAGUCGAGCGAGAAGACGUAGCAAUACGUUUGUAAAGCGGCGAACGGGUGAGGAAUACAUGGGUAACCUACCCUCGAGUGGGGAAUAACUAGCCGAAAGGUUAGCUAAUACCGCGUACGCUCCUUGGACUUCGGUUCAGGGAGGAAAGCGAUACCGUGGGUAUCGCGCUCUUGGAUGGGCUCAUGUCCUAUCAGCUUGUUGGUGAGGUAACGGCUCACCAAGGCUUCGACGGGUAGCUGGUCUGAGAGGACGAUCAGCCACACUGGCACUGCGACACGGGCCAGACUCCUACGGGAGGCAGCAGUAAGGAAUAUUGCGCAAUGGGCGAAAGCCUGACGCAGCGACGCCGCGUGGGGGAUGAAGGUCUUCGGAUUGUAAACCCCUUUCGGGAGGGAAGAUGGAACGAGCAAUCGUUCGGACGGUACCUCCAGAAGCAGCCACGGCUAACUUCGUGCCAGCAGCCG
RNAcentral lists this ribosomal RNA (495 nucleotides) under uncultured bacterium. RNAcentral describes it as "bacterial SSU rRNA". It matches the Rfam family "Bacterial small subunit ribosomal RNA", at positions 29 to 517 of the family's 1533-position model. The record is from RNAcentral.